This 953-nucleotide ribosomal RNA is filed under the name uncultured bacterium. RNAcentral's name for it is "bacterial SSU rRNA". It matches the Rfam family "Bacterial small subunit ribosomal RNA", at positions 8 to 974 of the family's 1533-position model. The record is from RNAcentral.
AGAGUUUGAUCCUGGCUCAGGAUGAACGCUAGCGGCAGGCUUAAUACAUGCAAGUCAAGGGGCCAGCAAUGGCACCGGCGGACGGGUGAGUAACGCGUACACAACGUACCUUUAACUGGGGGAUAGCAUCUGGAAACGGGUGGUAAUACCGCAUGUGGUUGCGGGGAGGCAUCUCCUUGUAACUAAAACUUUGGUGGUUAGAGAUCGGUGUGCGUCUGAUUAGCUAGUUGGUAGGGUAGAGGCCUACCAAGGCGACGAUCAGUAGGGGGCGUGAGAGCGUGAACCCCCACACGGGUACUGAGACACGGACCCGACUCCUACGGGAGGCAGCAGUAAGGAAUAUUGGUCAAUGGAGGGAACUCUGAACCAGCCAUGCCGCGUGAAGGAAGAAGGCGCUACGCGUUGUAAACUUCUUUUGGGUGGGACGAAAAUAAUCCAUUUAUGGAUAGCUGACGGUACCAUCAGAAUAAGCACCGGCUAACUCCGUGCCAGCAGCCGCGGUAAUACGGAGGGUGCAAGCGUUAAUCGGAAUUACUGGGCGUAAAGCGUGCGCAGGCGGUUAUGUAAGACAGAGGUGAAAUCCCCGGGCUCAACCUGAGAACUGCCUUUGUGACUGCAUAGCUGGAGUGCGGCAGAAGGGGGGAUGGAAUUCCGCGUGUAGCAGUGAAAUGCGUAGAUAUGCGGAGGAACACCGAUGGCGAAGGCAAUCCCCUGCGCCCUGCACUGACGCUCAUGCACGAAAGCGUGGAGAGCAACAGGAUUACAUACCCCUGUAGUCCACGCCCUAACGAUGUCAGCUUGGGUUGGUGGCGUCUUCACUGACUCAGUAACGAGCUAACGCGUGAAGUCGACCGCUGGAGGAAGUACGGCGGCAAGGUUAUACUUCAGAUGUAUGACGGGCACCGCCAAGCGUAGAUGAUGUGAUUUAGUCGAAUGCACGCAGAUAUAUAUGU